Molecule: unclassified non-coding RNA, 202 nt
Filed under: Hevea brasiliensis (rubber tree)
Lineage: Eukaryota; Viridiplantae; Streptophyta; Magnoliopsida; Malpighiales; Euphorbiaceae
Source: RNAcentral
GAUUGCUUCGUCGCCAGUGCUCCUCGCAAUGACGCAACUACAGAGCUUCGCCCUUGAGCAACCGCGGCACUUCGCCGGACAGACCAGCGGCCUGACGAAUGAACGCGCUUUUCAGCGGCGGCACGCGAUCCACAAGACCAAGCCCGAUAUCCCGCACCGUCCGCAGCAGAGCCGACUUGUUCGAGAACAGCAUGUUGAGCGA